Solanum tuberosum (potato) is the source of this 1029-nucleotide long non-coding RNA. RefSeq lists it as uncharacterized. The transcript has 2 exons. The record is from RefSeq and is a predicted model, not a curated record. Lineage: Eukaryota; Viridiplantae; Streptophyta; Magnoliopsida; Solanales; Solanaceae.
CGGCUAGAUAGUACAUCUUUAUUUUUAUUUUUAUUUUCAGUUUGUCUACCAUUGUUUGUAUGGUUAUUCUCUUUCAAGUCAUGACCUCUGGGUCUAGGCUUCACUUUUUAGAGGUUGUGUUGUCCAAUCUUUUUGCCUCGCAAGUUUGGUUUAGCUAGUAUGUUUCAGUGGGUAACUCCAUGUAUUAGGGUAUCGAGUGCCAGUUACGCCCCCUAUUUCGGGGUGUGACAUGAUGCCAUUAUAUAAGAACUAAAUUUCUUUUCGAUUUUGAGAUGUAUUUAAAAGGGAAUGUUCAAUAUUUAAGUUUUUUCCUCUAAGUUUAGAAACAGAGCACUUUUCCUUAUUUUCAAGUUGAGGAUGAAUUGUUGAAGAACUUGAAACCAAGUCGAGUUGACGAGACUUCAAUAUUCAGUCUAAGAUAGUACUGUUUUUACAACUCUAUAAUUUGUGCAGUAGGUAAUUUGAAAAUAACAUUGUGCAUUGCUUAAUUUUAUUAGAAGUUGUCAAAAAUUAAAGAAGAGAAGGAAUUAAAUUUUUGAGUUACAUUCUUGAAACUAAUAAACUCAAUAAAAAAAAAUUCAUUGUGGUUGAAGAAUGGAAACUAGAUUCAAGUUGUGUUGAAAGUUUAGAAUACAAUUAGGUUGUUUCAACUUGUUUUAAGAAAAGUUUUCAUGGCAGUUAGCUAUAGUUACAUGUAGUUGCUAUUAUUGUUUCGGGAUUUCUAUGAAGUAGUGUUAUUAAAUGGGAGUGCUUCGUCACUUAAAGUGAGAAACAAAGAGAAUUCUAUAUUGCUUUUUUGCAAUGAGGCGAGGCUAUGGUGAAAAGGCGAGAGCUUCAAUCCCUGAAGUAAGUCAAAGAUCGUUUCUCUGCUACAACAAGGUCAUACACUCUUAUAUUUGAAAUUUUUGUUGAUGGAAUAUUCCAAUAUGACGUUCAAUUGUGGAAAUUCUUUGAAGACAUUGUUUUUAUUGGAUUGGUUAUGUAGUGAUAUUAGUUAUUUUUUUCAAAUAAUAUAAGUUUAUUUUUGAA